Molecule: ribosomal RNA, 579 nt
Filed under: uncultured Stanieria sp.
Lineage: Bacteria; Bacillati; Cyanobacteriota; Cyanophyceae; Pleurocapsales; Dermocarpellaceae
Description: bacterial SSU rRNA
Rfam family: Bacterial small subunit ribosomal RNA
Source: RNAcentral
GAGUUUGAUCCUGGCUCAGGAUGAACGCUGGCGGUAUGCUUAACACAUGCAAGUCGAACGGAGUACUUCGGUACUUAGUGGCGGACGGGUGAGUAACGCGUGAGAAUCUGCCUUCAGGAUGGGGAUAACAGUGGGAAACCAGUGCUAACACCCAAUGAGCCGAGAGGUAAAAAAUUUAUUGCCUGAAGAGGAGCUCGCGUCCGAUUAGUUAGUUGGUGGGGUAAAGGCCUACCAAGGCGGCGAUCGGUAACUGGUCUGAGAGGACGAUCGGUCACACUGGGACUGAGACACGGCCCAGACUCCUACGGGAGGCAGCAGUGGGGAAUUUUCCGCAAUGGGGGCAACCCUGACGGAGCAAUACCGCGUGAGGGAGGAAGGCCUUUGGGUUGUAAACCUCUUUUCUUAAGGAAGAAGCUCUGACGGUACUUAAGGAAUCAGCAUCGGCUAACUCCGUGCCAGCAGCCGCGGUAAUACGGAGGAUGCAAGCGUUAUCCGGAAUUAUUGGGCGUAAAGCGUCCGCAGGCGGCAUUAUAAGUCUGCUGUCAAAGACCGCAGCUCAACUGCGGAGAGGCAGCGGAA